This 282-nucleotide ribosomal RNA is filed under the name uncultured bacterium. Its description in RNAcentral is "partial 16S ribosomal RNA". It matches the Rfam family "Bacterial small subunit ribosomal RNA", at positions 335 to 629 of the family's 1533-position model. The record is from RNAcentral.
GCUCCUACGGGGGGCAGCAGUCGAGAAUCAUUCACAAUGGGGGAAACCCUGAUGGUGCGACGCCGCGUGGGGGAAUGAAGGUCUUCGGAUUGUAAACCCCUGUCAUGUGGGAGCAAAUUAAAAAGAUAGUACCACAAGAGGAAGAGACGGCUAACUCUGUGCCAGCAGCCGCGGUAAUACAGAGGUCUCAAGCGUUGUUCGGAAUCACUGGGCGUAAAGCGUGCGUAGGCUGUUUCGUAAGUCGUGUGUGAAGGCGGGGGGCCCAACCGGGGGCCGCAACUG